UGAACGCUGGCGGCAGGCUUAACACAUGCAAGUCGAGCGGUAGCACAGAGGAGCUUGCUCCUUGGGUGACGAGCGGCGGACGGGUGAGUAAUGUCUGGGAAACUGCCUGAUGGAGGGGGAUAACUACUGGAAACGGUAGCUAAUACCGCAUAACGUCGCAAGACCAAAGAGGGGGACCUUCGGGCCUCUUGCCAUCAGAUGUGCCCAGAUGGGAUUAGCUAGUAGGUGGGGUAAUGGCUCACCUAGGCGACGAUCCCUAGCUGGUCUGAGAGGAUGACCAGCCACACUGGAACUGAGACACGGUCCAGACUCCUACGGGAGGCAGCAGUGGGGAAUAUUGCACAAUGGGCGCAAGCCUGAUGCAGCCAUGCCGCGUGUAUGAAGAAGGCCUUCGGGUUGUAAAGCACUUUCAGCGAGGAGGAAGGUGGUGAGGUUAAU
Molecule: ribosomal RNA, 438 nt
Filed under: uncultured bacterium
Lineage: Bacteria
Description: bacterial SSU rRNA
Rfam family: Bacterial small subunit ribosomal RNA
Source: RNAcentral